RNAcentral lists this unclassified non-coding RNA (214 nucleotides) under Hevea brasiliensis (rubber tree). Lineage: Eukaryota; Viridiplantae; Streptophyta; Magnoliopsida; Malpighiales; Euphorbiaceae. The record is from RNAcentral.
AAAAAAAAAAAAAGAAGAAAGAAGAAGAAACUCACAAUCACUUCUGCAUUCCAAAUUGCACUGUGAAUUCUGGAUCACCAAAGCUUGAGUUCCUAUCGCACUGAAAAUGGUCAAGAGGAAAGAAGAUGAGGUUUUGAUAUCAGGAUGGUUUUUCCCUUAUCUCAUUGUUAUAGUCAAAAGGCCAUCAGCCUGUUAUGAGUAAGGAGUAGAGCAG